Molecule: ribosomal RNA, 253 nt
Filed under: uncultured bacterium
Lineage: Bacteria
Description: partial 16S ribosomal RNA
Rfam family: Bacterial small subunit ribosomal RNA
Source: RNAcentral
UACGGAGGGUGCGAGCGUUGUCCGGAAUCACUGGGCGUAAAGGGCGCGUAGGUGGCGUCGCAAGUCAACGGUGAAAGCUCGACGCUCAACGUCGAGUCGGCCGUCGAGACUGCGAGGCUUGAGCACUGUAGAGGCAGAUGGAAUUCCGGGUGUAGCGGUGGAAUGCGUAGAGAUCCGGAAGAACACCUGUGGUGUAGACAGCUUACUGGACCGCUUCUGACGCUGAGACACGAAAGCGUGGGUAGCAAACAGG